Aegilops tauschii subsp. strangulata is the source of this 1278-nucleotide long non-coding RNA. RefSeq lists it as uncharacterized. The record is from RefSeq and is a predicted model, not a curated record. NCBI's taxonomy places the organism in Eukaryota, Viridiplantae, Streptophyta, Magnoliopsida, Poales, Poaceae.
UAAAAUAUUAUAUAUAGUACCAUAUGGUAGUAUAUGACACAUGUGGAGUAACUACCACCGUGUGAUAGGAUAGAUUUUCCAUAUAUAUAACUGAGCCGAAGGGAUGUUCCCGAACUAAAAAAAACAGAGCCCCUUUCCCCCCCUACCCGCUUCCACCUUCUUCCCCCACCCGCUUCCACCACCGAGCCACGCCGCACCCGCUCUGAAACCGGCCGCCGCGCCACCUCCGACCCCCGAUCCGGCCACCGCGCCACUUUCUACCACCGGAUCCUCCCGCGGAUCCACCUCCUCCCCCUGGAUCCGCCGCCGGCCGCACCUUCUCCCCUGGAUCCGCCUGCGGCGCCAACCGCCCAUGCCCCGCCCCGCCCUGGACCCACUCACCUCCCGCCGCCGAUGCCGCGCCGCCCCGAACGUCCCCGUGGCCGGUGCCGUGCCGCCCCGAACCUCCCCGUCGCCGGUGCCGUGCCGUGCCCCAAACCUCCCCGCCGUCGGUGCCCCGCCCCACCUCUCCCACACCGGCCGGGGCCCCCGCCACCGGUGCCCCCCUCUCCGCCGGCCCCGUCAACACCAGGCGCCGGAACGUCAACAGCGACGAGAUCGACUGCCUCCCGAGUCGCGCGCCCCCCGCGUUCCCUUCCGGCGACCGCCCCGCCCCCCAACUUCUUCUGAACUUCUCCAACCUCCUCCCUAGUCUAGAGCUUUGAGUCCAGGCCCCUGCACCAAAAAAUCAGCGUCCACUCCUAUGGAAAUUCUUCUCCAAAAUCUUCCGGCAAUGUGGGCAUCCAGUCGCGGAGAGAUUUUGCGGAGCGCUGCAUUCCGUCGUCGUCGACCCCGUGGCCGUGGGCAACCAGGCAGCUGAUGUAGAUACAUCCUGAGCGGUAGUGCUAUUCUACUGUCCGCAUUGCAGAUAUAUGGUUGGUGAUUUGCCACUUGUUAAAUUACAUGAUGAGAUGACAUGAGCUGUGAAAAAGGAGCGAGCAGGACACAAUAAAGAUGAUGUCCUGACUUCAUUUUUGGGACGUGUUUUCUCAGUAACUAUCUUGUUCUUGCUCAUUUUGUUGAAAGAUGGUCUUGUGUUCUGUGAAGAUGUGAACAAAAAUAUGUAUUCACAACAAAGAACACAAAGAUGUUGUGGUGAUGUAAAGUCCGCCCCAGCAUCUGUAGUUUUCCAGAUUGCUAUCAAUAUUUUUGUAAUCUUAACGGUGGCUUUGAUGCAAUUUAUUUCUGUAGAUGUAUAAAACCUGUUCGAUUCAUGGUGAACAAAAACAUGUUGCUGCA